RNAcentral lists this ribosomal RNA (1553 nucleotides) under Salmonella enterica. Its description in RNAcentral is "partial 23S ribosomal RNA". It matches the Rfam family "Bacterial large subunit ribosomal RNA", at positions 1292 to 2826 of the family's 2925-position model. RNAcentral also lists the same sequence under 1 other name. The record is from RNAcentral. Lineage: Bacteria; Pseudomonadati; Pseudomonadota; Gammaproteobacteria; Enterobacterales; Enterobacteriaceae.
GAAUGCUGACAUAAGUAACGAUAAAGCGGGUGAAAAGCCCGCUCGCCGGAAGACCAAGGGUUCCUGUCCAACGUUAAUCGGGGCAGGGUGAGUCGACCCCUAAGGCGAGGCCGAAAGGCGUAGUCGAUGGGAAACGGGUUAAUAUUCCCGUACUUGGUGUUACUGCGAAGGGGGGACGGAGAAGGCUAUGUUGGCCGGGCGACGGUUGUCCCGGUUUAAGCGUGUAGGUGUGUGUUCCAGGUAAAUCCGGUUCACUUUAACACUGAGGCGUGACGACGAGGCACUACGGUGCUGAAGCAACAAAUGCCCUGCUUCCAGGAAAAGCCUCUAAGCAUCAGGUAACAUCAAAUCGUACCCCAAACCGACACAGGUGGUCAGGUAGAGAAUACCAAGGCGCUUGAGAGAACUCGGGUGAAGGAACUAGGCAAAAUGGUGCCGUAACUUCGGGAGAAGGCACGCUGACACGUAGGUGAAGUGAUUUACUCAUGGAGCUGAAGUCAGUCGAAGAUACCAGCUGGCUGCAACUGUUUAUUAAAAACACAGCACUGUGCAAACACGAAAGUGGACGUAUACGGUGUGACGCCUGCCCGGUGCCGGAAGGUUAAUUGAUGGGGUCAGCGCAAGCGAAGCUCCUGAUCGAAGCCCCGGUAAACGGCGGCCGUAACUAUAACGGUCCUAAGGUAGCGAAAUUCCUUGUCGGGUAAGUUCCGACCUGCACGAAUGGCGUAAUGAUGGCCAGGCUGUCUCCACCCGAGACUCAGUGAAAUUGAACUCGCUGUGAAGAUGCAGUGUACCCGCGGCAAGACGGAAAGACCCCGUGAACCUUUACUAUAGCUUGACACUGAACAUUGAGCCUUGAUGUGUAGGAUAGGUGGGAGGCUUUGAAGUGUGGACGCCAGUCUGCAUGGAGCCGACCUUGAAAUACCACCCUUUAAUGUUUGAUGUUCUAACGUGGACCCGUUACCCGGGUUGCGGACAGUGUCUGGUGGGUAGUUUGACUGGGGCGGUCUCCUCCUAAAGAGUAACGGAGGAGCACGAAGGUUGGCUAAUCCUGGUCGGACAUCAGGAGGUUAGUGCAAUGGCAUAAGCCAGCUUGACUGCGAGCGUGACGGCGCGAGCAGGUGCGAAAGCAGGUCAUAGUGAUCCGGUGGUUCUGAAUGGAAGGGCCAUCGCUCAACGGAUAAAAGGUACUCCGGGGAUAACAGGCUGAUACCGCCCAAGAGUUCAUAUCGACGGCGGUGUUUGGCACCUCGAUGUCGGCUCAUCACAUCCUGGGGCUGAAGUAGGUCCCAAGGGUAUGGCUGUUCGCCAUUUAAAGUGGUACGCGAGCUGGGUUUAGAACGUCGUGAGACAGUUCGGUCCCUAUCUGCCGUGGGCGCUGGAGAACUGAGGGGGGCUGCUCCUAGUACGAGAGGACCGGAGUGGACGCAUCACUGGUGUUCGGGUUGUCAUGCCAAUGGCACUGCCCGGUAGCUAAAUGCGGAAGAGAUAAGUGCUGAAAGCAUCUAAGCACGAAACUUGCCCCGAGAUGAGUUCUCCCUGAGACUUAGAGU